UGGCUCAGAUGGCAAAAGCAUCUGCCUGCAAUGCGGGAGACCCAGGUUCUAUUCCUGG
RNAcentral lists this transfer RNA (58 nucleotides) under Ovis aries (sheep). Lineage: Eukaryota; Metazoa; Chordata; Mammalia; Artiodactyla; Bovidae. The record is from Rfam by way of RNAcentral.